Molecule: ribosomal RNA, 434 nt
Filed under: uncultured bacterium
Lineage: Bacteria
Description: bacterial SSU rRNA
Rfam family: Bacterial small subunit ribosomal RNA
Source: RNAcentral
CUAAACUGAGGAAAGUCGACCGAUACUGAUCGGCUAGAGGGACGUAGAGGUAAGCGGAACUCUCGGAGUAGCGGUGAAAUGCGUAGAGACCGAGAGGUACCCCGAUGGUGAAGACAGCUUACUGGGCGUCUCCUGACGCUGAAGCGCUAAGGCCAGGGGAGCGAAGGGGAUUAGAUACCCCCGUAGUCCUGGCUUCAAACGAUGUGGGCUUGGUGUCGGCUCCCGAUAGAGAGUCGUUGCCGGAGCUAACGUGUUAAGCCCACCGCCUGGGGAUUACGUCCGCAAGGAUGAAACUCAAGGGAAUUGACGGGGGCCCACACAACCGGUGGAGCACGUGGUUUAAUUCGAUGAUAAGCGAAGAACCUUACCAGGGCUUGACCUAGCGGUAGUAGAACCCUGAAAGGGGAACGAACCGGAGCUUUGCUUCGGGAGCC